Molecule: long non-coding RNA, 1953 nt
Organism: Lutra lutra (Eurasian river otter)
Lineage: Eukaryota; Metazoa; Chordata; Mammalia; Carnivora; Mustelidae
Exons: 2
Source: RefSeq, a predicted model, not a curated record
UGGGUCACUCAGUCAAUUAAGCAUCUGCCUUCAGCUCAGGUCAUGAUCCCAGGAGGGUCCUGGGAUCAAGUCCCAUGUUAGGCUCCCUGCUGCUUCUCUCUCUCCCUCUGACAUUCCCCUCGCUUAUGUUCUCUGGGUCUUUCUAUCUCUCUGUCAAAUAAAUAAGUUAAAUCUUUAGGAAAAAAAAAGAAAAAGCACAAGUAUGCUGAGAUGAGCUUGGGAAGGCCCCUACUCAUCAAGGCAGGCUCAGAAGCCUUGAUGGGUGCUGGAACUCUUAAUCUAUGGGAACUGCACACUCAAAACCACCCAAAGCCUUACUCUUCAGAUGGAACAUGGUAAUAGCUCCUGGGGGUCCCACCCCCACCAGGCUAAGAUCAUGCCCCUGAAUGGGGCUCACAGACCCUGCACUGUUCUUGGUAGUUUGUUUGGGUAGCAGAAUUCAAAUCCUAGUUUUUGGAAGGACUUUACUGGUUAUCACUAACAUUUUCCAUCUUUGGAAGCAGAGACCCCAGCCUGGAAGAGACUUAGUCCAAGCUCUCAGCUCAGUAGUAGCUUUGUUGAAUCAUACUACUUCCACCCAGACCAGCAGAAUCAAAGUCAGAGCCCCUGGCAGCCAGGCCAAGCCUGAUAGCAGGGGCAGAGAAGCAGCUAGCUUCCUGUGGCCGAUUAGAAGCAUUUUUGCUGACAACGGUUCCUGCUAACCGUUUCUUCCCUGUUGAAGAAAAUCUUGGUAUAGCUUUGAGGUAGUAGUUUAGACUACCAUAUUCUGGAUACAGUCUUUCCGGCUUUGGACAGGUUUUAUUCUGUCCCUGAGUCCCUGAAACUCGGAUGUGUACUGAGGCAACAGCACAAUGCAAUCUAGGCAGGGACUCAGAAGCAGUGUCCAUGGCUGCACAGAAAGAGGUCACCCCCUCCUCUGUUCAGGAGGAUGAGCAUGGCCAAUUCCACUGUGCUUGGGGUGGGCAGUGGAGCAGGUAGGUGGCUGCCAGCCAUCUGGAACCAGGAAAUGGUGCCCAGCGCAGUGCCAAAUCAAAGUUCCCAGGAAGGGCUUAGCUGAGAGAAGUCUUGGGGCAAAGGUGAGUUCUACGCUGGAUUUAUAAACUUUAUAUCCUCCCAGGGCAGGAAAGGAAAGAGGAAGCGGGGGUGACCCAUAGGGACUGACAUGCUUUUCUGCCAAACAGGAUUUUCCCAGACCCUGGUCUCUGCCCUGCUUUUACAUGAGUAUGUAGACUGGCUUGGGAAUCUGUCACUUCCUGAGUAGGGAGGCGUCAGUUCAUUCUAGGGCUGCACUGUCCCACAGAUCGUCACUAUUAGCCACAUUGAGUUUUAAAUUGAAAAUAUUAAAUAAAAUCCAGAGCUCAGUCCUCCAUCACACAAGCCACAUCUCAAGGGCCAGAAGUGGCCAGUGGCCCUGAGUUAGUGCAAAUGUACAUGUCCAUCAUCACAAAAAGAGCUUCGGGAAUGUGCUCGUUCUUCCUAGGUGACGACUCCGCAGGCGCCCUUUCCGGCAUUUCCGGGAAUGCUGCUCUGAAAGCCUCUGAGGAGACUUGAGGUGUCUCAGGCACAGUGGUCCAGGGCAUGGGCACCAGCAUUGCUCCUCUUGCCUUUGUUCUCAGUGUAGCAGUAAAAUAGGUCAGCAGGGAAGCAGCCAGUGUGUUUCUCAAGUGCAGCUGAUGACAGGUCUGGAAGCACAAAAUCAUGGUCUGACUUAAAGAAUGCUUUGCCUUUGGGGGAAGAAAACCCACAGAUUAACAAGAAUUAGACCAACAACUUGGUAGAAAAAUGGGGCAAGGAUAUGAACAGACUGUUCACAGAAAGAGGAGCCCAGAAAACCAAUAGCAAUAAUAACAUGAAGGAGGGAAAUUGUGUGACUGAGACCAGGGGUAGGAGGGAAACUUUUCUCCUUGACAGCAUUUGAAUGUUAAGCCAUAUGAAUGGAUGUAGUGCUUGUUU